Molecule: long non-coding RNA, 285 nt
Organism: Arabidopsis thaliana (thale cress)
Lineage: Eukaryota; Viridiplantae; Streptophyta; Magnoliopsida; Brassicales; Brassicaceae
Product: other RNA
Exons: 1
Source: RefSeq
AUCCAUUUCUGGUGAACAUCUCUGCAAGUUAAACAGAUGAAUUCAGAAGAGAGACAAUGGCAUUAUCACACAUCAAUGGUGUGUUUGAUAUGCACUAGUGUCUUUGCAGAUAUGAGACUCGCGGAACAAAGCUCAGCUUCCGCAAGCAGGAAAUGCAGAGUGUUUAUUUAGGAAGAUUGUAUCAGAUAACAUCACAACUCUUUGAUGCUCCCCUUCUUUACUUCCAUGUUUCAAACAAAAUUUACUAAAAAGUAAGAAACCAAACAGAUUCAGUCGCUUCAUAGA